GACGAACGCUGGCGGCGUGCUUAACACAUGCAAGUCGAACGGAAAGGCCCUGCUUUUGUGGGGUGCUCGAGUGGCGAACGGGUGAGUAACACGUGAGUAACCUGCCCUUGACUUUGGGAUAACUUCAGGAAACUGGGGCUAAUAUCGGAUAGGAGCUCCUGCUGCAUGGUGGGGGUUGGAAAGUUUCGGCGGUUGGGGAUGGACUCGCGGCUUAUCAGCUUGUUGGUGGGGUAGUGGCUUACAAAGGCUUUGACGGGUAGCCGGCCUGAGAGGGUGACCGGCCACAUUGGGACUGAGAUACGGCCCAGACUCCUACGGGAAGCAGCAGUGGGGAAUAUUGCACAGUGGGCGGAAGCCUGAUGCAGCAACGCCGCGUGCGGGAUAACGGCCUUCGGGUUGUAAACCGCUUUCGCCUGAGACGAAGCGUGAGUGACGGUAAUGGGUAAAGAAGCACCGGCUAACUACGUG
RNAcentral lists this ribosomal RNA (468 nucleotides) under uncultured bacterium. RNAcentral describes it as "partial 16S ribosomal RNA". It matches the Rfam family "Bacterial small subunit ribosomal RNA", at positions 28 to 507 of the family's 1533-position model. The record is from RNAcentral.